Armigeres subalbatus is the source of this 1199-nucleotide long non-coding RNA. RefSeq lists it as uncharacterized. The transcript is spliced from 3 exons. NCBI's taxonomy places the organism in Eukaryota, Metazoa, Arthropoda, Insecta, Diptera, Culicidae. The record is from RefSeq and is a predicted model, not a curated record.
UAUUUUCGUAAAAUUUAAAGUUGAAUUGUUCAUCGCAAAAGUCAAUUAUUUGUUUUUAAAGUAUUUUUUGUCACUUUCAAUUAUACAUUUAAAAGUUCAUACUUUCCCCAUAAAAAUUGUCGAACUGUCAGAUCACAUAUUAAAAGCUCAGCACAAAAUUUUAGAUUGGGACACCUUAAGAAAAAAAUAAAUGUAUUACUCAUUUCACAUCAAGUGGUAAACUUGGGCAAAAAAGGCAUUUCAAGUGAUGGCAAAAUAUGUAUUAAUACUUAUUUAAUUACAUUUCAACCGCUUUCAACUGUUAUCAUGCAUAAGGACAAUCAAAUUAGCAACAAGUUAUUUAUAUAAAAUGCAAUUUCAUUUAUACUUAACUUUCGAAUACAUUUCUCACUGUGUAUUCAUCUCGUCUAAGCAUUCGGAGUUAUCGGUGUAUUUUUAUUCCGUCAUCGCAAAACAGAAGUAUCCGAAACUGGGUGACUUCUGAAACGCUAACCGGAUUCCAACGGGGGAAUGCAGAUCUCAAAUAAUCGGAUACUAAAGCAGAAUCGAUGCCGGCGAAAGAAUUGUUUAUAUCCAGAUGGUUUAUCGAAGGAAAAAAACAACCUUUUUCAGCACUAAGCGGAUACAAAAAGUGGGCAUUUUUUCUCAAAAUUGUAUAUUGCCAUCGAGUGGAAGCCGAUCAACAGGUCUAAAAAUGCAGACGAAACAAAAUUUGGAAACAAAUGGUUUACCGACGGAAAAGCAGAAUAGGAACAGUCUAUACACACAUGGCCACAGAAUAGUAAUGCUGUAAGUUCAAAAUGGAAUAUAAAUAAAAGAAUUUUCUCAUGAAUACAAAUGAAACUGUUAUUUAAAAUAAAAUGGAGGGAAACCCCGUGGGGAAGGGAUGGGUUGGCAGGUUUGGGAAAUUUUCGAUUAUUAACUAAAAAUUACACAUACUAUUUUUACAGUGCAAUCAUUUCAUUUGACAGUUCCACAAUUUAUUUUUAAAAGUUCGAACUUUUAAUUUCAGAACGGCAAGCUACUUUCAUACCAUGGUUGUUGCAAAAGUUAACGUACUUUUAUUUUGAACAUUCGCAACUCUCUACGAAAAAGAACCAACGCAACUUUUUAUUUUCACCAACGUUUUUUUUAAUUUUAAUAGUGUUUUUUCUUUCUGUGUAGGAGAUUUUCGGGUUGGAAGUUUUCUCGACUUUCCU